This 436-nucleotide ribosomal RNA is filed under the name uncultured bacterium. RNAcentral's name for it is "bacterial SSU rRNA". It matches the Rfam family "Bacterial small subunit ribosomal RNA", at positions 355 to 796 of the family's 1533-position model. The record is from RNAcentral.
UGGGGAAUUUUGGACAAUGGGGGAAACCCUGAUCCAGCAACGCUGCGUGAAGGACGAAGGUCUUCGGAUUGUAAACUUCUUUUGUUCGGGACGAAUGCCCGCAAGGGUUUGACGGUACCGGAUGAAUAAGCCACGGCUAACUACGUGCCAGCAGCCGCGGUAAGACGUAGGUGGCGAGCGUUACUCGGAAUCACUAGGCGUAAAGCGCGUGUAGGCGGGUGCUUAAGUCCGCUGUGAAAUCUCCCGGCUCAACUGGGAGGGGUCAGCGGAUACUGGGCGUCUGGAGUGGGGCAGGGGUCACUGGAAUUCCAGGUGUAGCGGUGAAAUGCGUAGAUAUCUGGAGGAACACCAAUGGCGAAGGCAGGUGACUGGGCCUUUACUGACGCUAAGACGCGAAAGCUAGGGGAGCAAACAGGAUUAGAUACCCCCGUAGUCC